UGAGGAAUAUUGGACAAUGGGCGAAAGCCUGAUCCAGCAAUGCCGCGUGUGUGAAGAAGGCCUUCGGGUUGUAAAGCACUUUCAGUAGGGAAAAAGGAUUAACGGUUAAUACCCGUUGAUAUUGAUAUUACCUACAGAAGAAGCACCGGCUAACUCUGUGCCAGCAGCCGCGGUAAUACAGAGGGUGCAAGCGUUAAUCGGAAUUACUGGGCGUAAAGCGUACGUAGGCGGUUACUUAAGUCGGAUGUGAAAGCCCCGGGCUCAACCUGGGAACUGCACUCGAUACUGGGUAACUAGAGUAUGGUAGAGGAAAGUGGAAUUUCCGGUGUAGCGGUGAAAUGCGUAGAUAUCGGAAGGAACACCAGUGGCGAAGGCGGCUUUCUGGACCAAUACUGACGCUGAGGUACGAAAGCGUGGGGAGCAAACAGG
Molecule: ribosomal RNA, 429 nt
Filed under: uncultured bacterium
Lineage: Bacteria
Description: bacterial SSU rRNA
Rfam family: Bacterial small subunit ribosomal RNA
Source: RNAcentral